UUACGCCUGGCGGCAGAGGAAUUUUAAUUUUUAUCUGCAAUCAAAUAGAAAUUAUGGAAAAAAAAAUUAAAAAUAUCGGUGAAGUGAAGAAGGAAAAUGUGCAGACCAGACUGCAGGGUCCGCAGUGCGUAUGAGCAACAUACGCGCAGUGUUGAUGCAAAAAAAAUCUAAAAAGUUAUUAACUAUCAAGGACUCUUAAAGUCAUUUGCCAUUUGAGCAUCAUUAACAGAAUUCUAUACACACACACACACACACAAACCCGCACCCAACUACACUUUAUACUUCUAUUAACACUUCAGUCAAUUGGCCCACUUGUCAGCGAUUGCCAGUAGAGGCCAUACACGCGCACACACAUACACAAACACAUUUUUUGUUAUGCGCCUAUUGUUUGGUGGAAUUGCGAAAAAAUGUGAGUUACCAACAACGGUUAAAGCUAACCCACACUUGCUUAAAAAAAGACUGGAAAACUAGCGUUAGAGCACAUAAACACGAGGAAACACGCGCACAUACAUAAGGAUUAAAAUGUAUGUAUGAUUACAUGUUUUUGUAUGCGCUUAUGUAUACUUGAUUCGCUAUGCAUACAAACACGUGCGGUACUUAAAUCGAUAUUUGCAACAAGUACCAUUCAACAUAAAUGGUGUUGCCGCUACCGUAGUCGACAUCGAUGCCGCUGCUGCUAUCGGCAUUGCGACGACCUCAUGAAUUUUUCUUUGGUUGCGUGUUUACGUCCUUUGUGGAAAAUGUCAUGGUUAGUUUUGCACUGAUUUUCCUUGCAAGGAUAUAUCUCGAAGUAUUUUAAGCUGUGUUAAUCUAAGUAAUUCCAUGAAUAUUCCUGUUAGCGGUAAUUAGAAAGCUAAUCAAGAUUCGCAUAAUAAGAGAAUUUUAAAAUGUAACUAAUGGACUGGACUGAACUGAAGUUCAAAGCAACGGUGUGUUAUGCAAAUAUUAGAAGGCGAUUGCAUUAAUGAGUGAAAUUUCAACGCAAACUUUUUGGAAACUUUCUUUAUUAUACGGAAAAAAGUUAAGUAAAGCACUCUUUGCCAUGAGUUAAAGCGAUUGCGAAAGCGAUUUCAUCUAUGAAUAAGACGGACAUGGUGAGAACCUUGUAAACCACCUUAGGUGAUAGAAAAUGCAUUUGGAGUCUCAAGUCUCAAGUUCUCACCAUGCCCGUCUUAUUCAUAGACCAUCUCGAGCAAAAAUGAGGAGACAUUAGAGAUAUUCGGGCAUAGUAAAACACAUAAAAAUAAUUAAGCUAAGAUAGCCAGCUGUGCUUGUUGGCACUGCUAAACAGAUUAAACUAGAUGCACCCAAGCCACUCGGUCAAGGACUUUAAUUUCAUCAGCAAAAAAAUUGUGAAAAAAAUUCCGAUCACUUAAGCCACGAAGUUUUAUAUGCAAACUUGGGACUGUGUUUAAUAAUCCAGAGUAAAACAGCCUUUCAGGAAAAAAGCUGUUAAAAGGGUAUAACGAAAUUUCACUAAUUCUAUUAUUUUUAAGUCAA
Molecule: long non-coding RNA, 1500 nt
Organism: Anastrepha ludens (Mexican fruit fly)
Lineage: Eukaryota; Metazoa; Arthropoda; Insecta; Diptera; Tephritidae
Exons: 3
Source: RefSeq, a predicted model, not a curated record